GGGGUUGUGGCUCAGUGGUAGAGCUCUUGCCUUGCAGAUGUGAGGCCCUGGGUUCAAUCCCCAGCACCA
Non-coding RNA from Ictidomys tridecemlineatus (thirteen-lined ground squirrel), 69 nucleotides. The record is from Rfam. NCBI's taxonomy places the organism in Eukaryota, Metazoa, Chordata, Mammalia, Rodentia, Sciuridae.